RNAcentral lists this ribosomal RNA (301 nucleotides) under uncultured bacterium. RNAcentral's name for it is "partial 16S ribosomal RNA". It matches the Rfam family "Bacterial small subunit ribosomal RNA", at positions 509 to 807 of the family's 1533-position model. The record is from RNAcentral.
CAGUAGCCACGGUAAUACGAAGGGGGCUAGCGUUGCUCGGAAUCACUGGGCGUAAAGGGUGCGUAGGCGGGUCUUUAAGUCGGGGGUGAAAUCCUGGAGCUCAACUCCAGAACUGCCUUUGAUACUGAAGAUCUUGAGUUCGGGAGAGGUGAGUGGAACUGCGAGUGUAGAGGUGAAAUUCGUAGAUAUUCGCAAGAACACCAGUGGCGAAGGCGGCUCACUGGCCCGACACUGACGCUGAGGCACGAAAGCGUGGGGAGCAAACAGGAUUAGAGACCCCUGUAGUCCCUGUCUCUUAUAC